GACGAACGCUGGCGGCGUGCUUAACACAUGCAAGUCGAACGGAAAGGCCCAGCUUGCUGGGUGCUCGAGUGGCGAACGGGUGAGUAACACGUGGGUGAUCUGCCUCUAACUUCGGGAUAAGCUUGGGAAACUGGGUCUAAUACCGGAUAGGACAAUCGUUUAGUGUCGGUUGUGGAAAGUUUUUUCGGUUAGGGAUGAGCCCGCGGCCUAUCAGCUUGUUGGUGGGGUAAUGGCCUACCAAGGCGUCGACGGGUAGCCGGCCUGAGAGGGUGGACGGCCACAUUGGGGCUGAGAUACGGCCCAGACUCCUACGGGAGGCAGCAGUGGGGAAUAUUGCACAAUGGGCGCAAGCCUGAUGCAGCGACGCCGCGUGGGGGAUGACGGCCUUCGGGUUGUAAACCUCUUUCGACAGGGACGAAGCUUUGGUGACGGUACCUGUAGAAGAAGCACCGGCUAACUACGUG
RNAcentral lists this ribosomal RNA (464 nucleotides) under uncultured bacterium. Its description in RNAcentral is "partial 16S ribosomal RNA". It matches the Rfam family "Bacterial small subunit ribosomal RNA", at positions 28 to 507 of the family's 1533-position model. The record is from RNAcentral.